RNAcentral lists this transfer RNA (69 nucleotides) under Trochus rota. RNAcentral's name for it is "tRNA-Asn". The record is from RNAcentral. RNAcentral also lists the same sequence under 1 other name. Lineage: Eukaryota; Metazoa; Mollusca; Gastropoda; Trochida; Trochidae.
UGGAUGGAAGCCAAUUUGGGCGCCUAGCUGUUAAUUAGGAAGCUGUAGCAAAUAAGACUACCCAUUCAG